Drosophila ficusphila is the source of this 1202-nucleotide long non-coding RNA. RefSeq lists it as uncharacterized. The record is from RefSeq and is a predicted model, not a curated record. NCBI's taxonomy places the organism in Eukaryota, Metazoa, Arthropoda, Insecta, Diptera, Drosophilidae. The transcript has 2 exons.
ACUGUGGACAAAACCUGAAAGCAUCCAAGGCUAGAAUGGCUAGAUGGUGGCUGGUCACACUAGCAGAAGUAACUCAGAGGUUCGGUUCGGUAGAAAGCAUUUCACAGUUUUUAGCUAGGAUUUAUUUUUAAUUUGAGAAGUUUGGGUAAACAAAACCUUAAAGAAAAUCAAGUUAUAAUAUUUUUUUUUGCUUUAUUUUUGAUUUAAAAAAUUAAAUUAGACUUUUUUGGUCCCUCACCAUCAUUGCACCUACAGACCAAGUUUUAAUUUUCUGGUGUACAUACACACCGAUUAUGCAUUCAAUUUGCAUUUGCUCUUAGUUUUCUCCUUUUCGUAGAACUUUGUAAAAAAUUGACUAAGACUUAAAUUGAGGCCGUUAAAGAAGUUAUAUCAACGUGGUACAGUUUCCAUUGUCAUGUCUUGUACAAACUUCAAGUGAGCGUGUUACAUUUAGGACCAGCCUGGUUUUGCUUUGAGGAUAUUUCCCUUUUUGUCGUAACCUAGAGACGACUUUAAACCAAGCGGGAGAUUGCCGACAAUUCUAAUCAUUUCUUCUUCUCUUCCGUUUAGGGCGCCAAGACGAUCAUCUAAUUGGUAGGUAUGGUGUUACAUACAUUUGGAGCUUUGGAGAUCGGUUCGAAACGUUUUCCAAAGCGAAAGAACAAAAGUAAUGGUCGCUCCUUCUCAAACGCUUGAUUUCUUGUAAUCGAAAAGUUUCAAUUAAUUUGUCUUACAAGCAGUAAGAUGAUAAAGAUUAUUUGAAAUCAACACACAUAAUUGUUUUCGUGGUUGACUCGUUUGUCAAGCUGUAAAACAAUACACGAACAAUUUGCCAAAAGACGUAACGUUUUACAAGCCGCUAUGAACCAUAGAAAAGUCUUAAAUGGCGUGUAAAAUGUUGCAAAUAACACAAAUUACACAAAUACAUGUAACGUUUUACGCGCCUUAACCAGUCUAAACAACAAAUGAAUUUGUAAAUUUUGUAUAACCAUAAAUGUUGUACGAAACUUAUUCAAUUCUGAAGAAACCCCUACAACGCAUUUAGAGCAGGACGGUUAUAGAGAGGUGGACUCUUUCUUAUUCCUGACUGAAAGAGAAAGAGAAGAUAGAUCGUGCUGGAUAAGAACGAGACGGCUUUAGUGUUACUAAUUUUGUGUAAAUAAACGAUGAAUUGCCAAUAAAUGCAGUAAAAAAAACAAGAA